This 253-nucleotide ribosomal RNA is filed under the name uncultured bacterium. Its description in RNAcentral is "partial 16S ribosomal RNA". It matches the Rfam family "Bacterial small subunit ribosomal RNA", at positions 524 to 776 of the family's 1533-position model. The record is from RNAcentral.
UACAGAGGGGGCAAGCGUUGUUCGGAAUUACUGGGCGUAAAGCGUGCGCAGGCGGUCUUUUAAGUCAGAUGUGAAAUCCCCGGGCUUAACCUGGGAACUGCGUUUGAAACUGAAAGGCUAGGGUGUGGCAGAGGGGGGUGGAAUUCCACGUGUAGCAGUGAAAUGCGUAGAGAUGUGGAGGAACACCGAUGGCGAAGGCAGCCCCCUGGGCUAACACUGACGCUCAUGCACGAAAGCGUGGGGAGCAAACAGG